This 1220-nucleotide long non-coding RNA is filed under the name Setaria viridis. Its description in RNAcentral is "long non-coding RNA (SVIR_LNC000964)". The record is from RNAcentral. Lineage: Eukaryota; Viridiplantae; Streptophyta; Magnoliopsida; Poales; Poaceae.
AUAUUAUUGCCCUGGCCAGUUUCACCCUUUGGUGGAGGAGCUGGAGUCCGACAAGAUCAACAUCCGCAUGUCCAUGAUUCAGAAGGAGCGUGGCUCACACAGGCUCCCUCCAUCUAUGUUUAUAAGGUAUGAUAUAACUUUACAUUGUUUUCCAAAUAAUACUUUUAUUACUAAUUGGAGCCUCUAGAUAAAACCACCUAGGAUUCCUAAGUGGACACUCUAGAAAAAGAGAGAAAUCCUAUAAAUUCUCACAAAAAGCAAAACAUUAACAUCUGUCCAUCAAUCGGUAGACUCAAAUCAUCAUAGCCAUGAGAUCUAUUAUAUUUUCUAAAAAAUUACCCACCUAUGCCAUUAUAAAAAUAGAAUCCCCUAAAUCUAUAUCUAAAUUACCCACCUCUGCCAUUAUAUAAAAUUAACUAAAGUAACCCCUAAUCUUCAUCAAAAUUACCCACUCAUGCCAUUAUAAAAUAAUAUUUAAAAUAACCCCUAAAUUUGCAACUAAAUUGCCCACCACUAACCCUUAAAAAAAACUUAAAGUAACCCCUUAAAUUAGCAUCUAUAUUAUCCAUAUAUGCCAUAAUUAAAAAUAACAUGAGAUAACCCGACAUUUGAAUCCAAUCAACAAAAUUUAAAAUAUACAGCAAUAUAUGAGUCUAAAUCGUCUAUUUAUUACACUAUUGGUAUACGAUAUAAUAACUAAGGUAUAUACGCAUGAUGUGUGUCACCAUUUAUAAAGAUAUAGAGGAAGUGAUGAAAAUAUAGAUUUUUAUGUUAAAAUUAUAGCUCAAACUUAGGGUCCGUUAAACAAAUUCAAGCGCAUACUUAUGAUGCAAAGUGCAAAGUUAAAGAUUAUUAAUGUGGAUGAAAAUAUUAUAGAGUAAUUACUAACUAAAAUCUAUCACAAUCGGAUAAAGAUAAUAGGUAUAUAUCUAUAUAAGUAUUGUGUUUGAAUAUUUAACAAAUGAGAUGUAGCUCAUGGUAAUAGUUUUGUAGCAAUGUGGUCUUAUUUUUUUCAUUGGAGAGUCCACAUUAGUUCCCACUAGACACGCUAGAAAAAAAGACAAAUACUAGAAAUUCUCAACAAAAUCAAAAAUAUCAAAACACCAAUCAUGUAAACUCUAAUACUCAUAGUCAUUGAUCUAUUAUAUUUCUAAAAAGUUACCCACCACUAUCAUUAUGAAAAUAUUCAAAAAUAACUCUAAACCUAUAUCUAAAUUACU